Molecule: ribosomal RNA, 1161 nt
Filed under: Triticum aestivum (bread wheat)
Lineage: Eukaryota; Viridiplantae; Streptophyta; Magnoliopsida; Poales; Poaceae
Description: partial small subunit ribosomal RNA
Source: RNAcentral
AUGCCUCAAACACUGCCGGACGACCUCCUUGAGGAGGUCUUCCUCCGCCUCCCGCCGGGCGAGCCCGAGCACCUCCUGCGCGCUUCCCUCGCCAGCAAGCUCUGGCUCAGCCUCCUCGCCAGCGCUCGCUUCCGUGGCCGCUACGGCGACCGCCACGGAGCUCCACCCAUGCUCGGCUUCCUCUACUCCUGGCCUGAGUACGCCGGUCCGGAGGACGAAGAACACAAGCCGCACUUCGUCUCGACCACGAAGUUCGCCCCACGUGUCCCCGACGACGAGUGGAGCGAUCUGGCCUACGCUGCGUGGGACUGCCGCCAUGGCCUCGUCCUCCUCGGGGAUAGGUGCAGGUCGCCCAUGGGGUUCGUCGUCUGGGACCCCAUGACGGGCUGCAGGUGGGAGCUCGACGUGCCGACGGGAUACAUGUCCACUAAACAACGGGGGGCCGCUGCCGUGCUCUGUUCUAUGGCUGGCUGCGACCACCGCGUGUGCCAUGAGGGGUGCUUCCGGGUCGUCUUCAUCAGCCUGGACCCGAAAAAUGGUGUUGGUGUUGCACGCGCGGGCAUCUUCUCCAUGGAGAAGGGUGGGGUGAGCAAGCCGUGCUCUCCUCUUCAUCUUGACGAUGGAGCAACCAUCGACCAAAUGCCAUCUGUCCUCGUCCAAGACGCACUUCACUUCAUGGUUCGGCAACCUCAACCUUAUGUAGCACGAGCAAUUCUCAAGUACGACUUGGGCUUUGAUAGCUUAUCGCUGAUUCAUGUGCCGCCGGAGUUGACUACGACUGUUGGUAGCACCAUCCUCAUGGCGAUGGAGGAUGGAAGUUUGGGGAUUGCUGGGAUUACACACGAGGAUAAGUUUAUCCUCCACCUCUGGUCCAAGCAGAUGGGUUCUGACGGAGUUGAGGCAUGGACUCACCGUAGAGCUGUAGAUCUCAAGGAAUUCCUCCCCAUUCAAAAUACCAAGAAAAGAGUUAUUAGACUGAUUGGAUCUAUGGAGGGCAGUGAUAUCAUUUUCGUUACCACAGAUCUUGGCAUCUACGAGAUUAAUCUCAAGUCAUUACGGUGGAAGAAGCUAUUGAAGAGAGAAAGGUUCCGUGCCUUGAUUCCGUAUGUGAGUUUCUGCAAUCCACAAGAAAGGGUGAGCACAAGCGAUGCGGCUCAUUGA